UCUCCUACGGGACGCAGCAGUGAGGAAUAUUGGUCAAUGGUCGGGAGACUGAACCAGCCAAGCCGCGUGAGGGAUGAAGGUACAGAGUAUCGUAAACCUCUUUUGUCAGGGAACAAAGGCGGGGACGUGUCCCCGGAUGAGUGUACCUGAAGAAAAAGCAUCGGCUAACUCCGUGCCAGCAGCCGCGGUAAUACGGAGGAUGCGAGCGUUAUCCGGAUUUAUUGGGGUUAAAGGGUGCGCAGGCGGCGUGUCAACCAAGCGGUAAAAUAGCGGGGCUCAAACCCGUCGAGCCGUUUGAACUGGCG
This 305-nucleotide ribosomal RNA is filed under the name uncultured bacterium. RNAcentral's name for it is "bacterial SSU rRNA". It matches the Rfam family "Bacterial small subunit ribosomal RNA", at positions 335 to 638 of the family's 1533-position model. The record is from RNAcentral.